This is a long non-coding RNA of Panicum virgatum (switchgrass), 1601 nucleotides long. RefSeq lists it as uncharacterized. NCBI's taxonomy places the organism in Eukaryota, Viridiplantae, Streptophyta, Magnoliopsida, Poales, Poaceae. The record is from RefSeq and is a predicted model, not a curated record. The transcript is spliced from 3 exons.
CCCCCCCGCCUGCUGCUCCUCUGCCUGCGCCGGCGGCCAUGCUCCGGCGACCCCACCCGCAGAGCCCCGGCCCCCAGCGGCGGCGGAUCGGCGGGUUGCAGCCGCGCCGGGCUCCACCACGCUUUGCGCGCGGCGUCAUGGUGGAUCUGCAGCACCUUGGCCACUACCUCCCAUUCUCCUCGCGACGGUCGCCAUGGAGCGCGGCGGAGCCAGAACUUCCCAGCCGGUCCGUGGUGGACCUCAUCCAUCCUGUGGCUGCAGGUCGUCUAGCUACGAUUAACUACGGGUCUGAUGCUGGUGCACGCUCUGUGCUUGCGUAAAUGCCCCAACGAAUUUGAAGACCCGCGCAGGCUAAGCAUCACACCCUCUGUUCGUUUUUCUGUGGUUUGUGCAGAUCAGUAGAGGGAUCAAGAAAAUGGUCCAAAUCGAAACUACAGAUGAGAAUAUGAGAUUGAGAUGCUGUGUCAUGCAGGUCUGAGCUUCCCACUCAUGACUGCAGUUCUGAUAAAAAUCUUUAGCCUUCUGUUAUUGUGAAGAAUCUGAUUAGCUAGCAACAUGUGCUUAUUGGAUUCCACAGUGGAGAAAAAAACAUUUCUUUUACAGGUUCUUGAUCUUGCAUGUCAUCGCAGCUGCUAGCAAAGGUGUCAAGCUCUGUUUUUCUCUGUUUCUCUUGUGCAGCCUUAAAUUCGUUUGAUUUUUCAGAUUUAUACGAUGAAUAAGCUGAUACAACCAAGACGAGCUACAUGUUAUCUACCAUUAGAAGCGCAAAUUAGCUACUAAUAUGUUUGCUUGGAGUACAUAUUCCUACAGAUUUCUCAGUAUUAAGAAAGCUCUGCAAAGUUCUUUUAUUAUUUACUGCACCAUCCCUCCAGUGGCCAUAGUCAACAUUACCUCCACUGCCAACAAGGUGUUCGACAAAAUGCCAAGCUCCCAAGCGUAUAGCAUCUUUUAUUUAUGAAUGUACCUGUUUUCCUUCUAUUCCUGUCCUGCAAAUGGUGUCAACAAAAUUUCAUUUUCCAAUCCUGGUGUCAUACAUUGAUUUCUCCGGGCUUGUUGAUGGUUAUAUAUGAUAGAUAAAGAACAGAAAUGUAAACUAAUUUUGAGAUUUACUUGGGUAACCACUACGCCAAGAUGUGAGCAUGAUCUGGUUCCUCUGGCUAUUCGUGUUAUGGUACCACAUUUAAUCUAACCACACUGGCUACUCAUCCAUUGCAACCUGCAAUGUGUAAGCAGCUAGCAGUGUGAACAAACACGCUGGUAAUUUUUUUAUGCUUCUUGCCAUGUAGCAGAGCUUACAAAACCAAAUUUACGCUCUAAUUAAUAGGAGUUACUUCCACUGCCUGCAUUAAAAAAUUAGGAUACUCAUCUUACUGAAUCUGACAAUAUUUUCUCCUCUAAACAUUGACCACUCAGAUUCACUUUGCAAUCUGUGUUUCGUAUUCUGCAGUGAGGAUAAUGUUGGAGCUUACUAUUAGUAGAUGGCAACUUAUGACAACUUGAUUGUUUAAGUGUUUACUCUUGUGGAUGAUGGAAAACCAAUACGAAAAAGGUGGAAGAGGAGCAAGAAGGCCUCUUUGUAUAAAAAACGAAGCAAAAAAAAA